Long non-coding RNA from Schistocerca gregaria, 1132 nucleotides. RefSeq lists it as uncharacterized. NCBI's taxonomy places the organism in Eukaryota, Metazoa, Arthropoda, Insecta, Orthoptera, Acrididae. The record is from RefSeq and is a predicted model, not a curated record. The transcript is spliced from 5 exons.
ACUGCCAUACAAUGGAUAAGACUGUGUCACCUCACUAACAGGAGGCCUUGUUGUUCAUCAACGCCAUCACCUGCAUUUGCAGGAAGUGGAAGUGAUACAGCACUCAGGCCAAUACUGGAGUACAGUCGCCACACUUACAUCACCACUGCUGUUGUACAGAUUAACCCCAUAUUGACUGUCACAACUUCCAAUGUUGUCAUAUCAUACAUCUUGUAAUAGGACAACUAUACCAUAGAAAUACACAACAAACUUUUUGGAUCACUUUCAAUACAAAUAUGGUGUAACCAGUGUAAGUGACUGCUCUACAUUGAAGGUUUAAUUGACUUUUUGAUUAAGAGAAAAAUUAAUACCAUGAAACUUAAGUAAUUAUAUUGAACAAUUUGCUUGGUGUGCUAAAUGGUGCCAUGCACAACUGUAGCAGAAGGAAGAGACAGUGGCAAGGUGAUGAAUGAUGUAGGCACAUUGUCAAUGGACGUAAUUGUCAAAUUAUUGUGGUGGUAAAAGUGUGUUGGAGCUACAUCACAAUGUUUCAGAAGCCAUGGUUGCUGCUGGCACAAUGGCUCUAGGAAAUGUCAUGUUGCUUGGCAUGUAUUAAGUUAUCAGAGACAUGAAGAAGCUGUGUGAGAUGAUCUUCCACUACACCUCCAACAACACUACCAUGACCACAUUUCCAUCCAAGCAAAGCACAACAAGCAGACUUAAGUGCAGAAAAGAAGAAAGAGGAAGAGAAGGAGGAGGAGGAGGCGGAGAAGGAAGAGGAGGAGGAGGAGAAGGAAGAUAUGUACAAGACAACAGGAAUAGUACAAAAAUAAGAACACUAAGCAGAAAAAACUGUAUUUUCAUGCUGCUGCACAAGUGACCAUCAAAUUCUUCCUCCAAUUUAUCUCAACAAAAUGCUGAUGAAAUUCAACGACAUACAGUCCUGUGUAUUACUGUUCCUUAUAUGAAUCUUAAAAUCUCCAUAAAAUCACUGUACAGCUAGGUUACUAAAAUAAAAAUGAAAACAUUUUAAGUUUUUUCAUGUUGACACAUGGACCCAACCACCUUGUGCAAGGUAGUCUACCAUCACCUAAGUGCAAUCAGUUUCACCAGAAUAAUAGGUACCAUUUUGCCACAUCUGAUAAUGUAAUUA